Molecule: RNase P RNA, 394 nt
Filed under: Terriglobia bacterium
Lineage: Bacteria; Pseudomonadati; Acidobacteriota; Terriglobia
Description: RNase P RNA component class A
Rfam family: Bacterial RNase P class A
About the family: Ribonuclease P (RNase P) is a ubiquitous endoribonuclease, found in archaea, bacteria and eukarya as well as chloroplasts and mitochondria. Its best characterised activity is the generation of mature 5'-ends of tRNAs by cleaving the 5'-leader elements of precursor-tRNAs.
Source: RNAcentral
UAGGCAGGUCGAACGGUCGCUGGCUCAGUAUUUUUGGGCGGGAGGAAAGUCCGAACUCCACAGGGUAAUGUGCCCCGUAACACGGGGGACUCAUAGGCUUCUAUGAGUACCGAAAGUGCAACAGAAAAUAUACCGCCUUGAAAGAUGACAAGGGUUGGUUAAAAUCUUCUUACGAGGUAAGGGUGAAAUGGUGUGGUAAGAGCACACCGGGUGCUCUGUAAAGAGCAUGCCUGGCAAACCUCACAUGGAGCAAGUUCAAAUAGGGAUGGAGGCGUUACCCGCGCCGAUUGACAUCCGGGUAGAAUGCACGACCUAGAGGGCAACUUCUAGGCUAGAGGAAUGACCGUUACCUUUAAUCAAGGUACAGAAUUCGGCUUAUAGACCUGCCUUUUUU